AACAAUUUGGAAUCAUAUCUUUUAUCAAACAUUAAUAAAAGUAGUUCUAACAAAUAAUAAAAAUAGGACUAAUUGAAAGUUAUGACGUGACUCACAAUUGAGUCUAAAUUUAAAAAUAAUAAUAAUCAACCGUUAAUAAAUAUUCUAGUGUUUCUAAAAAUUAAAGUACUUCAUGAUGGAGAUCCAUUGGUCCAAUAUGCAUCCAUCCACCGCCGUCCAGCAUACUAAUUUCUACCUGAAAAUUGUAAAUAGAGAGGGAUGAGUAUAACGAAUUAUACUCAAUGAGGUGCUUGCUACUCCACAUUCAAAUCAAACGUGAAAUUAUGCAUAAAUUCUCUUACCAACAUAACAUGAGAAUUAUCACACCAUGACAAAUGAUAAUUCAAGCAAGCGCUGCAAAUAACGUGAAGGCUAAAUUGUGCCUUAAACUGUAUCAUAAUUUCUCCCAAAGGAGCUCUGAACUGAAGUAAUUAAAUCCAUACAUAACAACGUAUUUGAAAAGAUGUGGACAAACCACUAAUAGCACUGAGCAUCUCACCUUUUGAAGAUGAACGUGGAAAACAAAAUUGCUGAAAACGUGAUUCUCUAUUGAAAUUCCAAAUCCUUAAAAAAGCCUUAAUAAUAUGGAGAAAUAUUUUUAAAGAGGAGGAGAGAAUAAAGACUUGUAGAAGAAGAAUGAGGAAUUAAU
This 688-nucleotide long non-coding RNA is filed under the name Olea europaea (common olive). Its description in RNAcentral is "long non-coding RNA (OEUR_LNC010120)". Lineage: Eukaryota; Viridiplantae; Streptophyta; Magnoliopsida; Lamiales; Oleaceae. The record is from RNAcentral.